CAAUAAUCAACAAGAUGAACAUACACAGUACAUUCCCCAUCAGAGCAUGAACAGAAAUUCAUGGCCAGCUCAAGCAGUUCUCUGUCUGUCAGUGGUUCAGGAGGAUGAGAAGACACUCAGAGCCACGGCUGGAGAAGCAUGGCCUCCUGUUCUCAGUCUGGAAAGCUAAAACAAGCACAGAAUACUAGAACACUAAAAAGUUUCUUCUUAAAAAGAACAAAUGGAAUACCUGCCCACAGUCACUGGUGCAAAAGGUGUGCUCCCUGCCAAGGCCAAGCAAGUCCAGCAGUGUGACUCAAUAUGGAAAAGGCAAGGUAAGGACACAGCCAAAGGGUGCCACUUGCAAGAAACAGAC
Molecule: long non-coding RNA, 355 nt
Filed under: Cricetulus griseus (Chinese hamster)
Lineage: Eukaryota; Metazoa; Chordata; Mammalia; Rodentia; Cricetidae
Description: lncRNA (ENSCGRG00015031371.1)
Source: RNAcentral